AUUCAUUCCACACAUAACCCAGCUACUAGCUGGGUCUAGUUUUAACCUAGCAUUUACCACAUCUCUUCCACAUCCUCUAAGUGUUGACCAUUCCCUAGGAAUUUAUGAUAAUACCUGAGGGGUUGGCUUUUCCAUAAAAUUAGACUUUGCCUUAAAUAAGCAACACCUUAAAACCCAAGCUCCUUCAAACAUUUCAAAAAGUGUCUAUUUUCACAGAGAAAACCCAGCAACUCAUGUGGCCUUCUGAGAAGAUAGCAUAUGGGUGACAGGCAGGGACACAGAUAUUAGGGCAAUGGAGUGCAAAUAAAUUAAUGUCCUAUUAUAAAUGCUUUUCCUGAAAGUCCCUCCAUGAUGCUGUUGCCCAGGAAGCCUCAUGUAUCUUCCCCUCCCCCUUUUCUGUUCUCCACCUCUGGGACCUGCUGUGAUCUUUCCCACGUCUGUCUCUGCCUGCACCAGCGACUUCACUCUUUAUAGACGAAUUGGUUCUCCUGAGAAUACAACCUAGCUUAAAUACAUACAUUUAUUUUUAUUUAGAGAGUAAUAAAUGCUACUUUUUAAGAUGUAGGUAAGACUUGUCCAUGUUUCUACCUGUUUUAAACCUAGAUGUGAAUAUUUUCACAAAAUGUGAAACUCUUGUAUAGAUCCCAGCUGAAGAGGUAUGAUUCCUAGAUGAGAAACCAUGUCCUUCUUUUCCUUGUGGCAUAGCUGGAGCAGGAGCACUGUGCUCCUACCAGCUUUGCUUUCUUCCACCCAAUGCAGUCUGGGUGGUGUGCAGUGGCCCAGGUGGAGGCUGCACAGGAAAGAAGUUUGCAUCACAUCAGAUCUAUUCCCCUCCUUAAAUGACCAUGUGGGUCCCACCUUCAGCCAGCUGAAGGUGCCCUUUAGGGUUAGAAAGUCAGGUGUCUCUUCUAUCCGUUCUCUAUUGAUGUUUCAGUAUGAAGAACAAUUAAAUUCUUGAACAUUGUAGAAAAACAUGAAAUUAUGUAUUAUGAUACAAUUAGGCAACUUUUGACAUAUAUUUUGGUACUGAGGACUGAACCUGGGGGUGCUUUACCAUUGAGUGACACUGAGCUUCAUCCCAACCCCUUUUCUUUUUCAGUUUUGAGACAGAGUCUUGCUAAGUUGUUGAGGCUGGCCUUGAACUUGGAAUGCUCCUCUCUCAGCUUCCUGUGUUGCUGGGAUUUCAUGCACAUGCCACAGCACCCAGCAGGACUUUGUAUUUUUUUAUGCAGACAAAGCAGAGCCUGGAUAAAUUAAGUAGAAUGGCUCACAGCUCAUGAGAAUAAAGAGGCUGGCAGUGGGAAAACACACCGAUAUUAGGUCAUUGAUGUUCACCAACCACCCUGUGGGGUUGGAAAACAGAGCAACAUUAACAUUUAGUAUGGAGGAGAGGGUGUGGAAAGUCACAAAGGAGCCCAUCAGGAGAAGGAUUCUCUGGGUGGCUCUUGACUCAGGGCAGGAUCUGGGGGAAACUUUGAUACUGUGAAUGUGCUGAACCCAUUGCUUGUGCCUGAACAGAAGGAGAACCAUGGAGCCACCGGACCAUAUCAUGAGCACAGAAAAGACAAACUCAGGAAAUACAAACAAUGCUGCAUAUAAUGAAUUUGGUAUUUUGUCACAACCUGCAGAAGUACAGUACCCAAAAUCUAUGUCAGGUUUUUGCUACUCCAUAUGCUAAGCACAUAGUGAGGAAAAAUGAAUUCACCACAAUGUACAGGAUCCAGCAGAGGGAAAUGGAGAAGCCAAUGUACUUUGUGGCUUUUCCUUUGAGAUCCUGCCAACAGGAGUUCAUGGGAUUGAUCAUGAUGUUCUGGAAGAUGCUCAAAAGGCUCUGCUCUACCUAACAGUACUAUCUGUACCUUCAAUAAAUCUGUACUGUCCUGUUAUUUCUGUGUCUUGCUCAAUCCUUGUUUUGGGGAAACCAAGGAUGUGGACUUCAAUUGGACAUCCCAAAGGUAACAGCACUGUUUCUCAGUUUGGCCCAAGGAAGUCCCAGUUCAUCCUGCUGUGGGUCAGGGACACCAGUCCUGAGCUGGGGGAAAGCCCCAGGAAAGCUGCCUGGGCUGUAGAGACAUGGACAAUGAGCACCUGGCCUCUGCCCUGUCUACCAGCCCCUUUGUGCCCAAGGGAAUAAAACCCCAGUUUGAGAACAGAGCUCAUAUACCACUUGUGCAGGUGGAUGGGUUCUGAGGGAGCUGUAGGUUCUUUCUGGGUCCCUGUCCCAUGAGUUCAAAGAGUGAAAUCCACAGAUGGUAGCAGAGUGUGUAAGUAAAAGGAGUGAGAUUAGUUUGAAUGAGAGGAGAAAUAUGGAACUCCCAUGAUGUCAGGGGAACCUGGUGAGGU
RNAcentral lists this long non-coding RNA (2343 nucleotides) under Marmota monax (woodchuck). The record is from RNAcentral. Lineage: Eukaryota; Metazoa; Chordata; Mammalia; Rodentia; Sciuridae.